This 2211-nucleotide ribosomal RNA is filed under the name Thaumasioscolex didelphidis. RNAcentral describes it as "SSU rRNA". It matches the Rfam family "Eukaryotic small subunit ribosomal RNA". The record is from RNAcentral. Lineage: Eukaryota; Metazoa; Platyhelminthes; Cestoda; Proteocephalidea; Proteocephalidae.
CAGUAGUCAUAUGCUUGUCUCAGUGCACGCCUUUAUACGGUGAAACCGCGAAUGGCUCAUUAAAUCAGCUAUGGCUCAUUGGAUCAUACCCGUUAAAUGGAUAACUGUAAUAACUCUAGAGCUAAUACAUGCCACAAUGCCCUGACCCGUGGAAGCGGGAAUGGGUGCACUUAUUAGAUCAGAAGCCAACCGUGUCCGGCCUUGCAACAACAAGGCUGUGCAUGUUGACCACCUUCUGGUGACUCUGGAUAAUUGUUACAGAUCGCAGUCGGCUUGAAGUCGGCGACGGGUCCUUCAAAUGUCUGCCCUAUCAACUUUCGAUGGUAGGUGACCUGCCUACCAUGGUGAUAACGGGUAACGGGGAAUCAGGGUUCGAUUCCGGAGAGGGAGCCUGAGAAACGGCUACCACUUCCAAGGGAGGCAGCAGGCGCGCAAAUUACCCACUCCCGGUACGGGGAGGUGGUGACGAAAAAUACCGAUGCGGGACUCUCAACGAGGCUCCGUAAUCGGAAUGAGUGAACUAUAAAUCCUUUCACGAGGAUCAAUUGGAGGGCAAGUCUGGUGCCAGCAGCCGCGGUAACUCCAGCUCCAAUAGCGUAUAUUAAAGUUGCUGCAGUUAAAAAGCUCGUAGUUGGAUCUCGGUAGCACUGUUGGCCGCCAGUCCUCUGGCGGGUGGCUAUGCGCGCACGCGCGCGCACGGGUGCGCACUCUGCGGCCUGUGCUGCUGCUGCUGCUGUUGUUGUCAUGGCUGCUGUGUCGGAGUUGGCGGUGCGACGGUGUCGCCUGUCAGCCAUGUCUGUGGUGAAAUAUCCUCAGGUGUGGGCGAGUGUCGGAUGGUGCCCAGCAUUAUAAGUUGGGUUCGUCGGCUCGUCCGCAUGCCUCUGGAUGCCCUUAAAAAGGUGUCUGUGGGCGGAUGGCACGUUUACUUUGAACAAAUUUGAGUGCUCAAACCAGGCCGAUGUUGCCUGAAAAGUUUUGCAUGGAAUAAUGGAAUAGGACUUCGGUUCUAUUUCGUUGGUUUUCGGAUCCGAAGUAAUGAUCAAAAGAGACAGGCGGGGACGUUUGUAUGGCUGCGCUAGAGGUGAAAUUCAUGGACCGUAGCCAGACAAACUAAAGCGAAAGCAUUCGUCAAGCAUGUUUUCAUUGGCCAUGAGCGAAAGUCAGAGGCUCGAAGACGAUCAGAUACCGUCCUAGUUCUGACCAUAAACGAUGCCAACUGACGAUCCGUGGUGGUAGUUCAUCAACCUUCCCCACGGGCAGUCUCCGGGAAACCUUUAAGUCUUUGGGUUCCGGGGGAAGUAUGGUUGCAAAGCUGAAACUUAAAGGAAUUGACGGAAGGGCACCACCAGGAGUGGAGCCUGCGGCUUAAUUUGACUCAACACGGGAAAACUCACCCGGCCCGGACACUAUGAGGAUUGACAGAUUGAUAGCUCUUUCUUGAUUUGGUGGUUGGUGGUGCAUGGCCGUUCUUAGUUGGUGGAGCGAUUUGUCUGGUUAAUUCCGAUAACGAACGAGACUCCUGCCUGCUAAUUAGUGCACCUGUCAACUGUACUUGUGUAGGCGGUGCUCGGCGAGGCUACCCUCGUGAGCUGCCCGGGGAUGUGCGGUGGCAGGCGCGGAGGGAGAGCCCUGGUGCGUUGCUUCCUGGCCCCGGCCUCCCACACACUUGUGGGUGGGGCUGCGGUGGGGAUGGGCGCGCGUGGGGGCUUUUCCUGUGUCGUCGUCAAACUGUCUCUCGGGGCAGUGGGGGUGGCUGGUUCGGCGCUAGCUUCCGGGUGCGGCGCGGGUGUUUACUUCUUAGAGGACAAGCGGGAGAAGCCGCACGAAAUGGAGCAAUAACAGGUCUGUGAUGCCCUUAGAUGUCCGGGGCCGCACGCGCGCUACAAUGACGGUGGCAGCGAGUCUGAUCUUCUGGCCCGAAAGGGUUGGGCAAACUGGUCAAUCACCGUCAUGACAGGGAUCGGGGCUUGGAAUUGUUCCCCGUGAACGAGGAAUUCCUAGUAAGUGCAAGUCAUAAGCUUGCGCUGAUUACGUCCCUGCCCUUUGUACACACCGCCCGUCGCUACUACCGAUUGAAUGGUUUAGUGAGGUCCUUGGAUUGGCGCCAUUGUGGCGGUUGCCGAGAGGUGGCUGCCCGACAGGCGCUGAGAAGACGACCAAACUUGAUCAUUUAGAGGAAGUAAAAGUCGUAACAAGGUUUCCGUAGGUGAA